CGGCUCAGUAACACGUGGAUAACCUACCCUUGAGACGGGGAUAAACCCGGGAAACUGGGUAUAAUACCCGAUAGAUCUCGACUGCUGGAAUGCAUCGAGCUUGAAAGCUCCGGCGCUCAAGGAUGGGUCUGCGGCCUAUCAGGUAGUAGUGGGUGUAGCGUACCUACUAGCCUACGACGGGUACGGGUUGUGAGAGCAAGAGCCCGGAGAUGGAUUCUGAGACACGAAUCCAGGCCCUACGGGGUGCAGCAGGCGCGAAAACUUUACAAUGCUGGAAACAGCGAUAAGGGGACCUCGAGUGCCAGGUUACAAAUCUGGCUGUCGUGAUGCCUAAAAAGCAUUGCAUAGCAAGGGCCGGGCAAGACCGGUGCCAGCCGCCGCGGUAACACCGGCGGCUCGAGUGGUAACCGUUAUUAUUGGGUCUAAAGGGUCUGUAGCCGGCCGGAUAAGUCUCUUGGGAAAUCUGGCAGCUUAACUGUCAGGCUUUCAGGAGAUACUGUCUGGCUCGAGGCCGGGAGAGGUGAGAGGUACUUCAGGGGUAGGGGUGAAAUCUUGUAAUCCUUGAAGGACCACCAGUGGCGAAGGCGUCUCACCAGAACGGACCUGACGGC
This 611-nucleotide ribosomal RNA is filed under the name uncultured Methanosaeta sp. RNAcentral's name for it is "bacterial SSU rRNA". It matches the Rfam family "Archaeal small subunit ribosomal RNA", at positions 83 to 698 of the family's 1478-position model. The record is from RNAcentral. Lineage: Archaea; Methanobacteriati; Methanobacteriota; Methanomicrobia; Methanotrichales; Methanotrichaceae.